GACGAACGCUGGCGGCGUGCUUAACACAUGCAAGUCGAACGGAAAGGCCCUGCUUCUGUGGGGUGCUCGAGUGGCGAACGGGUGAGUAACACGUGAGUAACCUGCCCUUGACUUUGGGGUAACUUCAGGAAACUGGGGCUAAUACCGGAUAGGAGCUCCUGCUGCAUGGUGGGGGUUGGAAAGUUUCGGCGGUUGGGGAUGGACUCGCGGCUUAUCAGCUUGUUGGUGGGGUAGUGGCUUACCAAGGCUUUGACGGGUAGCCGGCCUGAGAGGGUGACCGGCCACAUUGGGACUGAGAUACGGCCCAGACUCCUACGGGAGGCAGCAGUGGGGAAUAUUGCACAAUGGGCGGAAGCCUGAUGCAGCAACGCCGCGUGCGGGAUGACGGCCUUCGGGUUGUAAACCGCUUUCGCCUGUGACGAAGCGUGAGUGACGGUAAUGGGUAAAGAAGCACCGGCUAACUACGUG
RNAcentral lists this ribosomal RNA (468 nucleotides) under uncultured bacterium. RNAcentral describes it as "partial 16S ribosomal RNA". It matches the Rfam family "Bacterial small subunit ribosomal RNA", at positions 28 to 507 of the family's 1533-position model. The record is from RNAcentral.